AUGUACAAGGAAAAAGAUAUUUACUAAAAGCAAAAUAAGGAAAAACAAACACACACAUCUGGCGUGUGUGUGUGUGUCGCCCCAAGCAGGAGAAAAAGAGGAGAAACCCUAAAAUCCUUGAAGUUGCAAAAUUGAGAAGGGAAAUUGAAGCUAAUCAUAUGCAUGAAUCUGAAUGUGCAACCAUUUAAGCCUACUAAUCAAGUGGGAUCAUGUGGAAAUGGACUCAAGAACGGAAGGUUAACGGGUCAAGCGGAGGCGAGGAAGCAAGCAUGAACACUAACGCUCGAGGUAAGUGAUUCUAAUUUCACUUUUUAGCUUGUUUAAAUAAGGUAUUGUUCUAGAUAAUUGAGUAUGUUACGAAGUCAAACAUGGAUUUGGUUGAAUGAAAACGAUGGUUCUCGCUAAGUAGAUCGAAUGUGUCAAAUGAAGUUUUGUUGUCAUAACAUAAU
This 449-nucleotide long non-coding RNA is filed under the name Helianthus annuus (common sunflower). The record is from RNAcentral. Lineage: Eukaryota; Viridiplantae; Streptophyta; Magnoliopsida; Asterales; Asteraceae.